RNAcentral lists this ribosomal RNA (253 nucleotides) under uncultured bacterium. RNAcentral describes it as "partial 16S ribosomal RNA". It matches the Rfam family "Bacterial small subunit ribosomal RNA", at positions 524 to 776 of the family's 1533-position model. The record is from RNAcentral.
UACAGAGGUCUCAAGCGUUGUUCGGAUUCAUUGGGCGUAAAGGGUGUGUAGGUGGCGCGCUAAGUCGGGUGUGAAAUUUCGGAGCUUAACUCCGAAACUGCAUUCGAUACUGGCGUGCUUGAGGACUGGAGAGGAGACUGGAAUUCAUGGUGUAGCAGUGAAAUGCGUAGAGAUCGUAAGGAAGACCAGUGGCGAAGGCGGGUCUCUGGACAGUUCCUGACACUGAGGCACGAAGGCCAGGGGAGCAAACCGG